UGGUCAAGUUAUUAAGGGUGUAGGGCGGAUGCCUUGGCACUAGGAGCCGAUGAAGGACGUGAUAAGCUGCGAUAAGCUUCGGGGAGUUGCACGUAAACUUUGAUCCGAAGAUUUCCGAAUGAGGAAACUCACUUAGAGUAAUGUCUAAGUAUCAUUAAGUGAAUACAUAGCUUAAUGAGGGGAACUCAGGGAACUGAAACAUCUAAGUACCUGAAGGAAGAGAAAGAAAUUCGAUUCCGUAAGUAGCGGCGAGCGAACGCGGAUUAGCCCAAACCAAUAAAGUUUUCUUUGUUGGGGUUGCGGACAUAUCAUAACGAAGAGGUAUCGUAAUUGAAGAGGUUUGGAAAGACCCACCACAGAAGGUAAUAGUCCUGUAUGUUAAACGAGAAGACUUUAGAUAUGAUCCAGAGUAC
RNAcentral lists this ribosomal RNA (413 nucleotides) under Clostridioides difficile. Its description in RNAcentral is "partial 23S ribosomal RNA". It matches the Rfam family "Bacterial large subunit ribosomal RNA", at positions 1 to 415 of the family's 2925-position model. Lineage: Bacteria; Bacillati; Bacillota; Clostridia; Peptostreptococcales; Peptostreptococcaceae. The record is from RNAcentral.